This 363-nucleotide ribosomal RNA is filed under the name uncultured eukaryote. RNAcentral describes it as "partial 18S ribosomal RNA". It matches the Rfam family "Eukaryotic small subunit ribosomal RNA", at positions 592 to 976 of the family's 1831-position model. The record is from RNAcentral.
CAAUAGCGUAUACUAAUGUUGUUGCAGUUAAAAAGCUCGUAGUUGAACUUCUGGUAGGAGUGUCCCGGCCUUUUUGUUUUUACAAAUUGUAUGCUGUGUGACAUCUCUGGCCAUCCUUCUUCUUUGUUUAAAGAAGAUCUUUCACUGUAAAAAAAUUAGGGUGUUCAAAGCAAAAGUUUCUUUGGAAUAUAUUAGUAUGGGAUGAUAGGAUAGGCUCUAGAUGCUAUUUUGUUGGUUUGCACAUUUAGAGAAUGAUUAACAGGGACAGUUGGGGGUAUUCGUAUUUACAUGUCAGAGGUGAAAUUCUUGGAUUUUGGAAAGACGAACUACUGCGAAAGCAUUUACCAAGGAUGUUUUCAUUAA